UGGUUCUGGCAUCGAUGAAGAACGCAGCGAAAUGCGAUAAGUAAUGUGAAUUGCAGAAUUCAGUGAAUCAUCGAAUCUUUGAACGCACAUUGCGCCCAUUAGCAUUCUAGUGGGCAUGCCUGUUCGAGCGUCAUUUCACCACUUAAGCCCUGUUGCUUAGCGUUGGGAGCCUACGGCCCAGCCCGUAGCUCCUUAAAGUGAUUGGCGGAGUUGGUUAUCACUCUAAGCGUAGUAACUAUAUCUCGCUUUUGUAGUGGUCCCGGCCCCUGCCGUAAAACCCCUUAUACAAAGGUUGACCUCGGAUCAGGUAGGAAUACCCGCUGA
Molecule: unclassified non-coding RNA, 324 nt
Filed under: uncultured fungus
Lineage: Eukaryota; Fungi
Description: partial contains 5.8S ribosomal RNA and internal transcribed spacer 2
Rfam family: 5.8S ribosomal RNA (bases 1-133)
Source: RNAcentral